GGGGGCCAUAAACCGACCGGGGGAAGUUACAGGAACAAACUGGAAAGGGCAGAGCAAUAAGCCGUAGCAUGAAAACCGAACAAGAUGGAUGAGCUGCCAAAAGGGAGGAAACCGAAGAUCUCGGAGAAAGCCCGCGCAGAUCACGGGAAGAACAUACAAACUAAAUACAGACUGCACCCGUAGUCGGGAUCGAACUCGGGUCUCUGACUCUGCAUUUUGCUGUAAGGCAGCUACUCUACCGCUGCGCCACCAUAACCGUGACUUAAUUUUUUAAUAUUUUACUAAACCUGCUUUGAGAACAAAUAGCAGCAAGACAAAUUAAUUAAUUAAUUUUGGACGGCAACAGUAUCCAAUUAUGACCAUAAUACAUCGUAUAGUGUUUCUUCUAUGUGUAUUUAGUUACCACUGAUAAAACUGACAAGAACUAAAUUUGAGAUGUCUUUGGGUUUUGGAAUGACAUUUAAAAAAUGCUAAAAUACAAGUCAGGUUGCAUUUGUAGGAGCAAUGUGCAAGAAUGGGAUACUGAUUGGGGAUGAUCAGCAAUGAUCAAAUUGAAUGGCGGUGCUGGCUCGAAGGGCUGAAUGGCCUGCUCAUGCACCUAUUGUCUAAACAGAAUUAACAUUUUUGGUCAUGUUUUGGUGAUAUGCCAAUUGUGGACAGAAUUAAAAUCCUCAGAGCUCUAUUGAUGAAUAACCUACCAGAAAUGAAUAUCCCAAUUUGAGAUAGAAUUUAGAUUCAAAGUUAUAGGAAAACAACGGACAAAGGUGACCAUUGUAAAUCAAAGUAUUACCUCUUGUAGUUGUCUCAUGUUAAUUCAAGUAACAGUGAUAUUCAUAACAUUUUAAAUUGAGAACAAAAAUAAAUUUAAAUUUGUGUCUUCAACUAUUUUCUUCAUCCCUUACAAAAGGU
Molecule: long non-coding RNA, 909 nt
Organism: Leucoraja erinaceus (little skate)
Lineage: Eukaryota; Metazoa; Chordata; Chondrichthyes; Rajiformes; Rajidae
Exons: 3
Source: RefSeq, a predicted model, not a curated record